Non-coding RNA from Acanthosepion pharaonis, 100 nucleotides. NCBI's taxonomy places the organism in Eukaryota, Metazoa, Mollusca, Cephalopoda, Sepiida, Sepiidae. The record is from the annotation of a GenBank genome assembly.
ACACUGAAACACCCGUUCACGUACGAUCACCGAAGUUAAGCAACGUCCAGCCUAGUCAGUACCUAGAUGGGUGGCCGUUUUGGAAAACCAUCUGCUGUAA